RNAcentral lists this long non-coding RNA (1842 nucleotides) under Prunus persica (peach). RNAcentral's name for it is "long non-coding RNA (PPER_LNC008627)". Lineage: Eukaryota; Viridiplantae; Streptophyta; Magnoliopsida; Rosales; Rosaceae. The record is from RNAcentral.
GAAGAUUAAUAUCUACUUUGGAUAUGUUGAAACUAGCAAAUUAAUAUUUAUAAGGUACAAACUAAUGCAACUGGGAGGGUCCUUUUGGAUUUUUUAUUUUUUAUUUCUUUUAAUGAAAUAGUAUAGCCGUGCGGCUAUACUAAGAUUUUUUGAAAAAACAACUUUUGACACGUGGCGCUAAAAGAGAGGGUUCUCACUUUUUUAUUUAAAAAAAAGGUACAGCCCAACGGCUAUACUCCGUGUUUUAAAUUAUUUUUAAAAUUGACCUUGUGUUGACACGUGGCGCCAAAUGGAUGGGGUUAAACUUUUUUUAUGUUUAAAAAUAAUAUAGCCGCACGGCUAUACUGAGUUUAGAUUUUCGAAACCGUCUAGCCGAGCCGCUAUACUAUUUAACACGUGGACGCUCUACAGGUGCUCUAUUUUUCACAAGGAGAUAGUAUAGCCGCGCGGCUAUACGCGAUUUUUCAUCUUUUUUCUUUUUUUAAAAAAAAAACAAGUAUAGCCGGCCGGCUGUACUUUCUAAAAAAACAAUUAAAAAAUAAAAUGUCUUUAAUAAAUAGUAUAGACGAGCGGUAACUAAUAAAUUAAAACCUAUUAGUUAAUUAAUUAAAUUGGGUUAAAGAGUUUAUAUGGUGAUAAUAAUUUUUAAAAAAACAACAUAAAUAUACGUACGUAUUUUUAAUGUUUCAUACACGUAAUUUUUACAAAAUUUUGAUUAAGACACACAAAAUUCACGUAUUAUACAAAUAAUUCUCACAUGUUAUUGAAUAAGAAUAACAUAUGUUAUAAAAAUUAUUAGAGUGGAAGAUUAAUAUCUACGUUGGAUAUGUUGAAACUAGCAAAUUAAUAUUUAUAAGGUACAAACUAAUGCAACUAGGAGGGUCCUUUUGGAUUUUUUAUUUUUUAUUUCUUUUAAUGAAAUAGUGUAGCCGUGCGGCGAUACUAAGAUUUUUUGAAAAAACAACAUUUGACACGUGGCGCUAAAAGAGAGGGUUCUCACUUUUUUUUUAAAAAAAAAAGGUACAGCCCAACGGCUAUACCCCGUGUUUUAAAUUUUUUUUAAAAUUGACCUUGUGUUGACACGUGGCGCCAAAUGGAUGGGGUUCAACUGUUUUUUAUAUUUAAAAAUAAUAUAGCCGCACGGCUAUACUGAGUUUAGAUUUUCGAAACAGUCUAGCCGAGCGGCUAUACUAUUUAACACGUGGACGCUCUGCAGCUGCUCUGUUUUUCACAAGGAGAUAGUAUAGCCGCGCGGCUAUACUCGAUUUUUUCCUUUUUUCUAUUUUUUUAAAAAAACAAGUAUAGCCGGCCGGCUUUACUGUCUAAAAAAAAUUAAAAAAUAAAAUGUCUUUAAUAAAUAGUAUGGACGAGCGGUAACUAAUAAAUUAAAACCUAUUAGUUAAUUAAUUAAAUUGGGUUUAAGAGUUUAUAUGGUGAUAAUAAUUUUUAAAAAAACAACAUAAAUGUACGUACGUAUUUUUAAUGUUUCAUACACGUAAUUUUUACAAAAAUUUGAGUAAGACACACAAAAUUCACGUAUUAUACAAAUAAUUCUCACAUGUUAUUGAAUAAGAAUAACAUAUGUUAUAAAAAUUAUUAGAGUGGAAGAUUAAUAUCUACUUUGGAUAUGUUGAAACUAGCAAAUUAAUAUUUAUAAGGUACAAACUAAUGCAACUAGGAGGGUCCUUUUGGAUUUUGUAUUUUGUAUUUCUUUUAAUGAAGUAGUAUAGCCGUGCGGCUAUACUAAGAUUUUUUGAAAAAACAACUUUUGACACGUGGCGCUAAAAGAGACGGUUCUCACUUUUUUAUUUAAAAAAAAAAAAGGUACAGCCCAACGGCUAU